Molecule: long non-coding RNA, 396 nt
Filed under: Zonotrichia albicollis (white-throated sparrow)
Lineage: Eukaryota; Metazoa; Chordata; Aves; Passeriformes; Passerellidae
Description: lncRNA (ENSZALG00000013592.1)
Source: RNAcentral
ACCAAUUUCAACUGAAAUAUCCUGGAUUGUCUAAGGAUCUAAAUUCUAGUGUAGAAGACAUGGCCACUGAAUGGCUUUUAAACACUAUCCCACUUCUUACCUCAAAGCUUCAAGAUGCCAAGGAUUUCCUCUGUGAGCUGGAGAGGUAUCUUCCGACACAUGAGCUGAAGUUAAAUAACAUUCCUAUGAGAGGAACAAAUUUGAAAUGUUCCACUCUGUGUCCUUGGUGUUUAUAUGAAACCAUUCCAUGAGCUGAGACCAGUCUGGACCUUUUCCAUAGGUUCUGCCUUCUGCAGGUUUUAUCUUGCAAGUGAUUGUCUGUCCAUCUUCUUCAAAUGGAUGUUGCCUCUUUAGAGACCAACUUAUGUUACUGCAGAUAUGAUUUCUUCAAGAAAC